This 399-nucleotide ribosomal RNA is filed under the name uncultured Glomus. Its description in RNAcentral is "SSU rRNA". It matches the Rfam family "Eukaryotic small subunit ribosomal RNA", at positions 569 to 975 of the family's 1831-position model. Lineage: Eukaryota; Fungi; Glomeromycota; Glomeromycetes; Glomerales; Glomeraceae. The record is from RNAcentral.
AGCAGCCGCGGUAAUUCCAGCUCCAAUAGCGUAUAUUAAAGUUGUUGCAGUUAAAAAGCUCGUAGUUGAAUUUCGGGGUUAGUGAGUUGGUCGUGCCUCUGGUAUGCACUGGCUCUACUGAUUCCUCCUUCUUGAAGAACUGUAAUGUCAUUAAUUUGGUGUUGCAGGGAAACAGGACUGUUACUUUGAAAAAUUAGAGUGUUUAAAGCAGGCAAUCGCUUGAAUACAUUAGCAUGGAAUAAUGAAAUAGGACGUUGAUACUAUUUUGUUGGUUUCUAGGGUUGGCGUAAUGAUUAAUAGGGAUAGUUGGGGGCAUUAGUAUUCAAUUGUCAGAGGUGAAAUUCUUGGAUUUAUUGAAGACUAACUACUGCGAAAGCAUUUGCCAAGGAUGUUUCAUUA